GGUAAAAGUCGUAACAAGGUUUCCGUAGGUGAACCUGCGGAAGGAUCAUUAUUGUAUAACCGAGGUGCGAGGGCUGUCGCUGACCCGAAAGGUCGUGCACGCCCGAGUGCCCUCACACACAUCCAUCUCACCCCUAUGUGCACCACCGCGUGGGUUCCCCUUUGGCUUGUUCGGAGGGGGGCUUACGUUUUCACACAAACUUUGUAUGCAGUGUAGAAUGUAUUUUUUGUUUUUGCGAUCACGCAAUCAAUACAACUUUCAACAACGGAUCUCUUGGCUCUC
Molecule: unclassified non-coding RNA, 282 nt
Filed under: plant metagenome
Description: partial contains small subunit ribosomal RNA, internal transcribed spacer 1, and 5.8S ribosomal RNA
Rfam family: Eukaryotic small subunit ribosomal RNA (bases 1-51)
Source: RNAcentral